AACGAACGCUGGCGGCAUGCCUAACACAUGCAAGUCGAACGAGACCUUCGGGUCUAGUGGCGCACGGGUGCGUAACGCGUGGGAACCUGCCCUUAGGUUCGGAAUAACUCCCCGAAAGGGGUGCUAAUACCGGAUAAUGUCUUCGGACCAAAGAUUUAUGGCCUUUGGAUGGGCCCGCGUUGGAUUAGCUAGUUGGUAGUGUAAAAGCCUACCAAGGCGACGAUCCAUAGCUGGUCGGAGAGGAUGAUCAGCCACACUGGGACUGAGACACGGCCCAGACUCCUACGGGAGAGAGCAGAAGGGAAUAUUAGACAAUGGGCGAAAGCCUGAUCCAGCAAUGCCGCGUGAGUGAUGAAUGCCUUAGGGUUGUAAAGCUCUUUUACCCGGGAUGAUAAUGACAGUACCGGGAAAAUAAGCACCGGCUAACUCCGUG
This 433-nucleotide ribosomal RNA is filed under the name uncultured bacterium. Its description in RNAcentral is "partial 16S ribosomal RNA". It matches the Rfam family "Bacterial small subunit ribosomal RNA", at positions 29 to 507 of the family's 1533-position model. The record is from RNAcentral.